AGAAUAUUAGACCCAGGAUACUACUGCUGCUGCUGUUGGUUCAACCAGUAGAACAUUAGACCCAGGAUACUACUGCUGUUGCUGUUGGAUCAACCAGCAGAACAUUAGACCCAGGAUACUAAUGCUGUUGCUGUUGGUACAACCAGCAGAACAUUAGACCCAGGAUACUACUGCUGCUGCUGUUGGUUCAACCAGCAGAACAUUAGACCCAGGGUACUACUACUGCUGCUGUUGGUUCAACCAGUAGAACAUUAGACGUACUACUGCUGCUGUUGUUGGUUCAACCAGCGGAACAUUAGACCCAGGAUACUACUGCUGCUGCUGUUGGUACAACCAGCAGAACAUUAGACCCAGGGUACUACUACUGCUGCUGUUGGUUCAACCAGUAGAACAUUAGACGUACUACUGCUGCUGUUGUUGGUUCAACCAGCGGAACAUUAGACCCAGGAUACUACUGCUGUUGCUCUUGGUUCAACCAGCGGAACAUUAGACCCAGGAUACUACUGCUGUUGCUGUUGGUUCAACCAGCGGAACAUUCGGCCCAGGAUACUACUGCUGCUGCUGUUGGUACAACCAGCAGCAUAUUAGACCCAGGAUACUGCUGCUGCUGCUGUUGAUUCAACCAGUAGAACAUUAGACCCAGGAUACUACUGCUGCUGCUGUUGGUUCAACCAGUAGAACAUUAGACCCAGGAUACUACUGCUGUUGCUGUUGAUUCAACCAGUGGAACAUUAGACCCAGGAUACUACCGCUGCUGCUGUUGAUUCAACCAGUGGAACAUUAGACCCAGGAUACUACCGCUGCUGCUGUUGGUUCAACCCGCAGAAUAUUAGACCCAGGAUACUACUGCUGCUGCUGUUGGUUCAACCAGCGGAACAUUAGACUCAGGAUACUACUGCUGCUGCUGUUGGUUCAACCAGCAGAAUAUUAGACCCAGGAUACUACUGCUGCUGCUGUUGGUUCAACCAGCGGAACAUUCGACCCAGGAUAUACCAUCAAAGGGUAAAUUGACAAGAUGGGGUAAAAUGCAUUAUGGAGAAUGGUCUAUAGAAAAGGAUUUGAUUAAAAUAUAAUAAAAUAGAUUCGAUUAUACUGUAAAUUAAUAGAGCAACUCAAAGGAACUUGGAGCUAAUUCAUUACCAAUGCUUUGAGACAUUUCUCCUGAUGAAUUAAUUAAUUAAUGACAUUUUUAUUUUCGUGUCAAAUCGCCAAUUGGCAACUCAUCCCUUAUGGGAUUAAUUGACACAUAAACAAAUAUUACAACAAUUCACUAUGGUAAUUAAAUUAUCAUUAUUCUUCCGGUGUUCUCUGCAUUGUGCAUCACAUAAAGAGUGAAAAAAAAGUAAGGUAAAAAUCACUACAUAAUAGUAAAUUACAUCCCCAGAGCAGUAAAAUAAUAUACAUACAUAAAUAAAAAGAAAAAUAAAUACAGAAUUUUUUUUAAAAAAGAAACAGAAGUCUGGCACAAAGAGAAGAUUCAUAUGGGAGACAAUACACAAUCUACAUACACACGCCACUAACCACAUAGUAGCAAAAUCUUUUUUGGGGUUAUGAUUUAAUUAUAGGUAGCCUUUUUAAAAUUUUAUUACAGGCUUUAUUUAAAUAUUCCGCAAACGGAAUAUUUACACUGUACACUGAUAGCCAUAAACAGCCAUUAUUUCAGUCCUACAGUACCAGAACGUUUAAUAGAUCUUAUUGCUACUCCUCUAGCCUCUGUUGAAACUCCAGACCUUCAUAAAACAUUCAUCCACCGUGACACCAAGGUCAGUAGAAUUAAUAAGGGAAGGGUGAAACUGUUUAUCCAAGUGUGGCUUCAUGUCACAUGGACUCCUCAGGAAUCUAAGUCUGUUUCCCAAAUGUCACCCUAUUCCCUAUAUACUGCAUUACUUUAGACCAAGGGCCUAGGACCCAUUGGGCUCUGGUCAAAAGUAGUGCACUAUAAAUGAAAUAGGUUUCCAUUUGGGAUGCACACAAACUCUUCUUGGUUAGUGUUUCAUAUAACAUUACUCUAAUCUGAUUUCUGUAAUUUACUGGAAUGGUGGUGGAUGGGCGGGGGGUGGGGGUCUAUGUGUGAUGUUGCCUCAACACAUUUGAAUAGUGAAUGCUAUCCAUGACAGGUAUGAGACUAGCAAACGCAAACAGCCAAGAUGUAAUAAUAAGACAACUGAACAAGUGAGAUUGAAAGUGAACUGGGCCAGGGUGUAAGGUGAUAUCUGUCAGGGUGUAAGGUGAGAUCUGUCAGGGUGUAAGGUGAUAACUGUUAGGGUGUAAGGUGAUAUCUGUCAGCGUGCAACCCUCUGCUUUGAACUUGAUUUAUCACACAGGUUUACAAACAGCAAGGCUGUUCCCUCCAGCAGGACGGAGCCAGCACCCUGGUGACACGGUGAUUGGCGAGGGAGAUAAGUCAAGCUUUAUGUCGUCCUGCAACGUUAAAGCAGGGAGAUACCAGGGUCCUCGUAACGGGUCAGCGUCCCAAAUGGCAGAUGGGUUUCCUGCAGGGAUCAGGGUACAGACACAUGACACUGUGGUAUUAUGUCUAAGAGGUUUUGGGUUGUUUAACGAGACUGAACACUUUCAACUCUCAACUUCUGUGACCCCCCGGAUUAGUUUCACAAACAUUUCAAUCUAAUAUAGAUGAUACAGUUAUCGGGUCAUCGUACAUAGAUGUUCAGUAGUUAAAACAGCCUUCAAUGUCUUUAAUAUUGUAAAACCAAAUCUUGUUACAAAACUUUUUGAAGAUAACUUCUCAUCAAGCACCAAACAUUAAUAUUUGCAAUAAAAUGUGCCAACAUACAUUUUCUCUAAAUAAAUACAAGAAAAGCAAAAAUGGGUAUUUACAAACUACACCAUAAUCAAAAAAAUACUUGUAAAACAUAACAUCUAUAAAUAUACUCCUAAAAAGAAAGUGUGUGCAAUUUCACUUUUGUAACUAGUGAUCAUCCACCCAUUAUUUUGUGGAUAUCAAUUCCUAAAUAUUGCAUCAUUGCAAACUUGUCCAUGUUAGCUUCAGUAUGACUGUUGUUUGUGUCAUAAAGUUCUCCAUGCUAUUCUAUCAUGUAGUAUCAUUUUGCAUGUAUGAGUAUCACAUCAGUAUUCCACACGGUCUCAUCUGGAGAAGUUCAUUGAUGUGGGCCUAUUUGUUGUGAGGAACUGUGGUCCUCUCCAGCCCUGUUUAGUCCAGAAGCAGAUACACCAGGACAUCCAUUGGUAGAUUCAGUCGGACCUCAAUGGAAACUUGCAGUCAGGAUCAUAGCUCUUACACCAUCCAAUCAACUGUUGUUUGUUUCUUGUUGUUGUUGUUGUUGUUGUUGUCAGGGUCACCUGACCAGGUGGCAGAUGAUGAGGACUAUAUCCUGUGCAGUGUCAUCUUGGCAGAGGGACACGGUUCUGGGGCCAUGUGUGAUGAGUCAGCCUGUUGACGACCUGCUUCACAAACGCCCCUGCUGGGAAAUGAGGACAGAGAUGCUGGUGACUCAUAGAUACUAGAACACUAAAGCCUGGCUUGUCGCCCUAACGACCACUCAAAACAAAGAACAAAAGCUAAAACGUCCCCCCAAAAAUAAUGGUAAGAACUACACUGGAAGACACUUCCAAUCC
Molecule: long non-coding RNA, 3597 nt
Filed under: Salmo salar (Atlantic salmon)
Lineage: Eukaryota; Metazoa; Chordata; Actinopteri; Salmoniformes; Salmonidae
Description: lncRNA (ENSSSAG00000083572.1)
Source: RNAcentral